This 27281-nucleotide long non-coding RNA is filed under the name Triticum aestivum (bread wheat). Its description in RNAcentral is "long non-coding RNA (TAES_LNC018053)". The stretch from base 8083 to 8209 matches the Rfam family "MIR1120/MIR1122 microRNA precursor family". Lineage: Eukaryota; Viridiplantae; Streptophyta; Magnoliopsida; Poales; Poaceae. The record is from RNAcentral.
ACAGAAUGCCAUCUGCUGUGUCACAGACAAAGAAAAUUGUGUGACUGAAAAAGUACACAAAAUUUCUACUCACUGGAGCUUGUACCCUAUGAAAUCACAUGGUGAAAAAUGACGAUCUGCAUCCACUUGGUACUUGAAAAAUAAACCUUUGGGGAGGUGCUGUUAUCUAUCAAGGCAUCAACCCGCAUGGAUUCAGGGAGCUUCGAAAGUCUGAAUAUUUUCCUGAAUAGAAGUGUGGGUUUCCUUGUUUGUCAUAUUUGUGUUUGCCAGAUCUCAUAUACUGAUACAAGAAUCAUACUGACCUCCACUUGUAUUUCUGUCCUGAAAGAUUCGAGAGUACUGUUUAUGCGAAAAGCUUGUUUUAUUCUAUCAUUUGCGAAGAUUCGUUUGAGAACUAGAGCACGGUUAUGCUUGUUCUCUGCGCUGAUCUGAUGAUGGUUUUAUAGCAACAACCACCAUACAAACAUCUGGAAUAGCAACAUUGAACAGUUGUCCCAAGAAUGAUUCUGAAUAUGAAGUGUAUACCCUAACAAAAUGAAAUUUAAAAACAAAAAUUACCAUUAGCAGAAGGGAACGAAACAAGCAAUAUGUGAGCAUUUCACCAUACAUGGACGCCAGCACCGUUGUUUUUUAUUUUUUAUUUUUAAGUAGACGCCAGCAUGAUUUUGCCCAUAUCAAAUGAAGAGAAGUAAAGCAAAGCCACAAAACUCAUAAAAACGGUAUCACAGCUUCAAUAAUUUGGGUUUGUUAGAUUGUCAAUGGAUUGUUGUAGUCCCUCUCAUCCAUAUUAAUUGCCGCAGCUUUUGUACAACUUUAUAUGGAUCAGAGGAAGUACUUUUUUUUUCCUUAGGAAACACACUCAACCAAAGCCACUCAUUCAACUGUGUAUUUUUAGCAUCCCCUGUUUCUAGCCUACAGGCUGGCUUCUGUGCCACCAGCUAAAACAUUUGGCGACUAUAUUUCAACGCGCUCGGGCCUAAAAUUCAGGCCAAAAUUCCCCACCAUUUUGGAGCCAUGCAAACAAAAUUGUGAUCCUAACUUCGGGGGCAGUUCAUUCACAUGUAGAUGGAUUUUUACCCCAAACAAAUUUUGCCUCAGUCAAGACAAGUAUUGGAUGCAGUUUCUUCCUAGACAAGGGUGCCUCAUAGGCUUAUGCAUUUGAUAGUUUCUUGCUCUUAUCCCGUUUGCAAUGGAUUCUGCGAGGAGCUGGUUCAACAAGCUCCAAACGAGGGAGAAAUCCGUCGGCAAGAAGAAAGAUAUGCCUCCAAGUGGCAAGGAAGGGACCGAUGAAGCACCUUCCAGCGCUACGAAGCAAAGGGUUGCCGCGGCAAAGCAGUACAUCGAGAAGCACUACAAGGAGCAGAUGAAACAUCUACAGGACAGGAAAGAGAGGUAAGUAAUGAGGAUCCGUGCCGCAUCUUGGCCGAUUGUCAUAAGUUUUAACUGUCAAUAAGGUCUAGUAUUUUACCGGCCCAUGAUGUAAUAUGUUUGCCCAUAUGCAAAAUGAUAAUUGUGAGACCUUUCACGUGUCGUUUCCGUACAACCUUGUGAUCCCUGAUAAAAGAAAUGAUUGAAUUCAGGAAUACUUUGUGUGGUAAUUGUCCUAUAUGUAUAAGUUGUGGAUUAAUGUAAUCCUACGAACCAUUAAAGCAUUAUAUGCUCAUAACAUGAUUUUGUUCGCGAUAGGAUUUUACAUUGCUGGCCAUGUUUAAUUUCAAGAAAUAAUGCUUUAACUGGUGAUUUUUUUUUGUUUCACAAUAUAGACGGUAUAGUUUUGAAAGGAAGCUAGCAGAUGCCAAUGUGUCCGAGGAGGAGCAGAACAACAUCCUGAAGCAAUUUGAGAAGAAGGAGACAGAGUACAUGCGUUUGCAGAGGCACAAAAUGAGUGCCGAGGAUUUUGACCUGCUGACAGUGAUAGGGAAAGGAGCAUUUGGUGAGGUAAAACUUCCAUGCAAAUGUAGGCUCACUCUACGUCCUCUUUCCAUCUGUUCUUUCUUCCCAAUUUCUGCAAAAUUUUCCUUCUAGGUUAGGAUCUGCAGAGAGAAGACCACAGGGAAUGUCUAUGCAAUGAAGAAACUCAAGAAGUCAGAAAUGCUUCGCCGAGGUCAGGUAUGACUAUCUUGUGAUAAGAAUUCUGGGUGUGCGUUUACGUCGAAUUGUUCGCUCCGUCUCUGAUCAUACUUUGGAUUUCACACAGGUUGAGCAUGUCAGAGCCGAAAGGAACCUCCUUGCCGAAGUGGACCACCAUUGCAUUGUGAAGCUGUAUUGUUCUUUCCAAGAUAACGAAUUUCUGUAUCUCAUAAUGGAGUACCUUCCUGGAGGCGACAUGAUGACAUUGCUGAUGAGAAAAGACACGUUGACCGAGGACGAGGCUAGGUUCUAUGUUGGCGAAACGGUUCUCGCGAUAGAAGCAAUCCACAAGCACAGCUACAUCCACAGGUAUGUGUUCGGCUCCUAUAAAUGGUACUUUUUUUUGCGGGAACCUAUAAAUUAUACUUGGUAUUUUGGAGAUUUCCUUAUGAACUUGGUACUUGAUCUUCCAGAGAUAUCAAGCCUGAUAAUCUGCUCCUAGAUAGAUAUGGCCACUUGAGACUAUCCGAUUUUGGGCUAUGCAAACCACUUGACUAUGCAGCCUUCCCUGACUUGAAUGAGAAGGAUGUCACGCCUAAUAGAACAUCAUCGGCUCAUGGUGAUGGAAGACAACAAACUACGCCGAAACGCACACAACAAGAACAGCUGGAGCACUGGCAAAAGAACAGAAGAACUUUGGUCAGUAUUACCUACACCUUAUUGAACUGAUCAUUAAUCAUUAGUAGCUUAUCCAUAAAUAAACUAUGAGAGAGCGGGCAUUGUUGUUCGUGUUAAGUAUAUUAUAUCUCCUCUUCCUAUCCACGUCUUUUGGAAUAGUUGGUUGAUAGGAAUAUCUUAACAUGGUAUCAGACCUGAGAUCUUGUGUUCAAGUCUCAAUCCCUGCAUUUUCCCCAAUCAUUUAUCCACGCCCACGUCGGGUGUGGGGGGAGGUGUUGAUCAUUCCAUAUCCACGUCGGAUGUGAAGGGGGGGGGGUUGUUAAGUAUAUUAUAUCUCCUCUUCCUAUCAAAUCGGUCUUUUGGGAUAGUUGGUUGAUAGGAAUAUCUUAACAGUUCGUUCGGCCGCUUUUGAACUGUUUCCAUGUUUCUGACAUGCCCUUAAAUGAUUGCAGGCUUACUCCACUGUUGGUACACCCGACUACAUUGCUCCAGAAGUUCUUCUGAAGAAAGGUUAUGGGAUGGAGUGCGACUGGUAAGCAUAAUUUUCGGUAUAUCACAUGCCAUUGCAUCUGUUGAGUUUCACUCAAAUACAAAAUGGUUUCCCACUUUGUUUAGGUGGUCACUUGGUGCUAUCAUGUAUGAAAUGCUAGUGGGGUAUCCCCCAUUCUACUCGGACGAACCUAUGACAACUUGCAGAAAGGUAGUCAUGGGUAUCCCCCAUUCUACUCGGAUUUCCAAGUUUUAUUGUUCUCUGCUUUCAUCUUAUGCAAUUUUGUUCUCGUUGCGCAUAUGUGGGCCACGACAGAUUGUGAACUGGAGAACUCACCUUAAAUUUCCGGAAGAAGCACGGCUAACGCUGGAUGCAAAAGAUCUAAUAAGUAGACUCUUAUGCAGCGUUGACCAACGCCUCGGUACAAAAGGUGCAGAGGAAAUUAAGGUUGUUAUGUGUCCUUUAAGAAUGCCUUGAAACAUGCCUCCAAUCAAAUAUCUGAGUCCUUUAAAAAGAAAAGAAAAAAAUGGUGCCACUACCGAAUUUUUCUUCAUACUACUUUGCAUGUUCAAUAUUAGGAGCACAUCUGGUUUAAUGAAGUAGACUGGGAGAAAUUGUAUGAAACCGAAGCUGCAUACUUACCUCAAGUAACGGAUGAGUUGGACACUCAGAAUUUUGAGAAAUUUGAAGAGGUGGGCAGUUGGUUUUCUUCUAAAUUAUGUUCUUCUUCAUCUCCAGAAGUCAGUACAAUUUUUUUUUAAUUAUGUUGUAUUUGCAGUCUUCCGAUCAUUCUCAAGCUUCAUCAAAGACAGGCCCUUGGAGGAAGGUAAUUUGCAUUUAUAUAUAAACUCUUUCGUUAACAUUACAAAUUUCAACCUAUGUAUGCAAUAAUUUGGACCGCCUUUUCCCCCAUCUAUUCUGUCAUUUGCCUUGCAGAUGCUUUCAUCAAAGGACCUGAAUUUCGUGGGCUAUACUUACAAGAACUUUGAACUUGUGAAUGAUGAUGAAGUUCUUGAAAUGGGUACUGUGUACUUUCGACUUUCUUUAAAUAACUAUGUUUGCCUCUUCCAUUGCCACCAUUUGUUCUUGUUAUAGCCGAUUAUAUAAGCAGAUAUACCAUGAUUCGAACUGUGUGAACAUGUUGAAGUUAUUCAUCUUGUGUCAAUUUUCAAAAUUCAUGAGUUUGUUAUGCCACAAGUUAUUUUUUAGGUAGAAACAAAUCUAUUUUGAAUCAUGAACUGCUGUGCUUGGUCUGACUUGAGCCUUAAACUAUGAAUCAAUCAAUAUGAACCCAAAACUUUCUAAUCCCGUCUAACAUGAACCCUAAUCUGGCUUUGAAAAGUAGUUUCAUUACACCUGUCACAAAUGUUAAAAGUGAUUUAGGAUGUAUGGAAUUAUAUGAAAUUAGAAACCGCAAACAUUCCUCCAAAUAUUGGAAUGUUUACGAGAGAAUCCCUUUUUUUUUGUGUGUGGAAUACAAUGAUCUUAUUAGUUGAAUUUGUUUCCUUUGUUCUUCAUAGCACUCUCCAUCCCCAUGAGUAGUUGUAUUCGAGAAUUUUUUUUACAUCUCCAUGAGUAGUUUAAGAUUUUUUUUCGAAACCUUAGACGACAUAACAACCUUUCAAGACUUGACCUUCUUAUUUAAAUAGUGACUCUGAAAGUCUGAAUCUUCAGAGUUUCAGGAAAUUCUGAGGAAAUUUACGAACAGCCAUAAACAGUGCCAUGCUAUACCGUUACCAUUUUCUUGCUCACUAACAAUGCCUUGUUUAACCCACUGCGCGCGCACACAGCUGGUCUGAAGAAGAAGGAGAAGGCGAAGAGACCAAGCGUCAAAUCCCUCUUCGGUACGCACCAUUCUCGUGCUCAGCUGUGAUAUGUUUCUCUUGACGAAAAACUUAUGCUGCUAUAAUCACGUAGAUGAGCCUGACGGAGAGGAGGAGCAGCAAGCGUCCGGCGAAGACGACGAUGACGGCGAAGGCAGCGUCCGGAACCGGAAGACGGAGCCCGAGCCCGAGCUGACGAGGAGCCUCAGCUUGCCGUCCCCCUCCGCCGACAAGCCCAGCCUCGCCUUACCAACGGAUUAACGACAGCAUCGAUUCUUUCCCUUUGUGUACUCUGGACCUUUACGCUAUGUCAUCAAGUCGGUGCUGUUCCCUUGGAUUGAUCUAUGUAUGUACGUCGUUAUGCGUCCAUCUAGCUCGUAGUGUUAUUUCAAACCGGAUUAGCUGGAGGGGUUGAUACUGCACAUGCAAAAACGAUUGGAAAAGCUACCUAGGGGUCUUCGGAAGAAAGGAUAAACAUGGUGAUUGUUUAUAAUUGUUUGGAGGAUAGCAUUCUUUCUGGACUGCAAUAGCUAGCGAACAUUCGGUGGGAGGAAUGGCAUUUGCGAACUUUUUGCUAGCAGUUUCUUUAGAUUCGCAUGAUAUUUUCUUAACGUAAGAAUUUCUUCGUAGGAUUAGCUUUUUCUUCAGAGAAAGGCAUUUUUCUCCUAAAACUGCCACCAUUUAUUCUUGCGUUGCAACUAAAACUGCUAAAAAGAUGCGUUCGCUUGCCAUCCUCUCCUAGAAAACCUCAUAAAAAAAUACAAUUUGUUGUACCGUUUCUUUUAUUUUACUCCCUUCGUUCCAAAAUUCUUGUUCGUAUCUAGACAAAUCUAAGACAAGAAGAUGUAUCUAAUAUCCAUAUUUAGACAAAUUUAAGACAAGAAUUUUAGAACGGAGGGAGUAUUUGUUUAUCAAUUCCUACCAUUCCAUGCAAUUUAAUCUUGGAACUAGCAGGACGAGAAACUUGAAAACCUUCUUCACGUGUUGAGGACAAGUUUAUGUUGUGUUUUGUGUGCAGGUAUCAGUGACUUUUUUUCUGCUAGAAAACUUUCGGUCUAUUCAUCUUUAAUCAUUAUAGUACAGCGAACACCUGAAAUAAUAAAAAUUCUCAUCAAGUUCCAAACAGAUUUAGAUCCUCGCCCGUUGUCUGGCUAGCGGGGCCACCGUUGCUACCUACUGUAGCAUCGUAGAGGAGGUAUCUCAUACCCCAGCUCCUAUCAAUUGGGAGGUAUCUCAUACCCCGUCUCCCGAUCUAUUUUUGCCACAAGACCCAAAAUUGUUUGGAUAGCCUUAUGAACAAACAUGAUGGCGUGUAUGUUCGUGUCCGACACAAACCCUCUAAUUCAAGGACACCUAGCAGCACCCCAAUGUCAUGAGCCCACUGCUAGACGUACAAGACAUGCGAAGGUGUAACAUCUGGAAUGGCAAAUGUGCUUGAUAUUUAUGAGGGGUCUUUCUACCAUUCAACAUGCAUAGAAAUAAUUUGGUGAGCCCAGUGCUAGACGUACAAGACAUGCGAAGGUGCAAUAUCUGAAGGUGCAACAUCUGGGGUGGCAAAUGUGCUUGAUAUUUACGAGGGAUAUUUCUACCAUUCAACAUGCAUAGAAAUAGAACCAAUGUCAAUCACAAACAAAUAAAUAUUUCUUGAAUAGUAUGUCUCCUCCAUGAAGGUCCUCCGGCGACUCCAAUAGCAUGGUCGGAUCUCCAUCCUGUUCGUCAGGCCGGGACGCCUGGAUCUCCAUCCGAGUAACGCGGUUGUUCUAUGUCCUUCAGUUACUACAACUAGUAAUGAAUUACAGAGAAUCACAAGCCGACAUGUAGGUUGUAGUACAUUAUAAUGAUAGCGCUUAGGCUCUAGCCGACUUGACAAACCCAUGACUGCAUCUCAUACAUGAGCCAUACCAUUCACCGCAAACAUGCAAAACCAAGUGACAAAUAGGUCAAAACUGAUAAAUCUCUGUGUGUGGUCCAGCCCUAGUGGGGGUGGGGGGGCUGGCAUAACGCCACCAUUAAUGUGUAAUUUUGGUCCUGGACUGGGUUGUGCCCGUUUGCCAUACUUUUGGUCCAGAAACGAAAUUUAAUGUGUAACCACCUCAAAGAAGAAAAUGAAACUAGCUUGUAAAAGAAGCACAUUAAACCUUACGAGCAAAGAGAUACUAUAUGAAAUAUCUCUAGACUUUUUACACUAAGCAUUGUAACUACCCAAACAAAUCACUCCAUCGAAGCAUAAACUCAUCAGUUCCAGCCUGCAUGGCUACAGUAAUAGCCAAGCAAUCAAUCUUUUUACAGGACUCCCUUAAGAUCAAACUCUGGCGGCGUCAUCUGCCCCUCACUUUCUAGUAAACCAUCCCCCAUCCAAUAUUCACAAAUGCAAAAUGUCUUUCAGGUCCCCAACAAGAAUUUGAAGCCUAGGCACUCUGCGUGGAGAGAGGGUUGCAAAGGGGAGUCACUUUAUGGAUUUUUCAGAGCAGCCAGCCUCUGCUCGAGCUCUUCCAAUUCCGAACUGUAAACAAGGUAACCAGUGUCAUUAACAUGGCAACUUAUAUCAGGUAUAGGUGUAGAUUCAUGGAAGCAAGGGGAGCAGUCGUAAGCCCAAUAUUGAGUGGAAAAAAGAUCAAGAGUACAUAAAUAGCUGUUGGAGAUAAGUGUGCGUCAGCAAUGGUCGAAGUAAUAAGAUCCUACACCAGAUCAUGUUUAAUUCUUUUAAAGAAAUGCAGACAAAAUAUCAUGAAUACAAAAUCAAAGUAAAUGUUCUACUUCGAAACUACUUUAUCCUUCUUUUUUAUUCGGUACACAAAAACAUACUCCCUCCGUCCCAAAAUAAGUGUCUCAACUUUGUAGUAAUUUUAGUACAAAAUUGUACUAAGGUUGAGACACUUAUUUUGAGACGAAGGGAGUGUGAUUACGACUCUAAGAGUUUACUCUUUUUAAAUAGGAUUUAUUAACUAUUCCGAUGUGUUGCAUAAGGAUAACAGUGGGGAGCUAAGGUAGUCUUGGCCCAUCGCAGUUUGAAGUUCAAAAAAUAUAUUACCUCCGUACCAAAAAGCUUGUCUUAGAUCUGUCUAGAUACGGAUGUAUCUAACGUGUCUAGAUACAUCCGUAUCUAGACAAAUCUAAGACAAGCUUUUUGGGACGGAGGGAGUAGUAACCUGGAUUCCUUAACAAGGUAUGAAGGGUCCAAGGGGGGUAUAAAAAUGAAGAAAAUAAAUGACUAAAGAUCCAGGAUCCUGCAUACCUCUCAUCAGCCUGAACCUUCUUUCCAGCAAUUCUUCCUUUGGGAGCCGAGGACAACUGCAAAACAGUGUCAGGACAAGAGAAAUUUCGAACAAGAGUUAGAAUCAUAGUAAUGAAAAAGGGGUUGCACUGGUAGCUUCAACUACCUGUGAGGCAACGUCAACACCAAUCUCGUCGAGCACCUAAAAGAGACAUUGAAAAGAAUGAAUAAUCGAAGAAACAUGCUAGGAAGAGUCUUUCAAAGAGAUGCUACCAAUUUGGAUUGAGGUUGGACACUGGAAAUAACCUGGUUAGCAAGCUCUUCAGUUUCGUCCUCAGCCUGGUCAUCGUCUAAGACAUUGUCGAUUGAGUCUGACAUCAUCUCGUUCUGCACAAAUAACAAGGAUAAUCAGUGCAUACACUUUGUCAUAAUCUAAUACACAGGAACCCAUCACAUGCUUGUGAGCUUCCCAGGAAAACAAUGUAAAAUCUUGUCAAAUUGAAAGCAAUCAUUCUAUGAAAGUAGGAUGGCCAUAAGUUGCAUACCGUCCUAUCCAUUUGUGCUGACUGCUUUUGGAAUUCUUGCAUUACUUUCAUUUGCUUGGCGGGAUCCAUUUGCUGCAGCAAAAAUAAAACAAAAUUUAUAGUAGAACAUGUGUUCCGAUUCUUACAAAAUUGUGUUCUACAUCCCAGAACAAAGACACACAGAAGUUACUACUGUAAGAUUUAAGUUCAAAGAUACUGUGUUAGUAUACACUUGGUUUUUAAAAUUUUAAACACCUGGAAUGUAUCAUGCCAAUAAGUUUGGUAGGCUAUUACCUUGUUCAUAGCUCCCAUCGCUUUACUCGCACUUUGCAUGCCAGCAGACACUGAAGUGUUGGCCUGCAUCGCCUAAGGACAGAGUACGGCAACAAAACAAGAAAAUUAACUCACCACCAUGUGUCGAAGAAAGAAAAGAAAGGAAAAUAUUCACCUGUGUGUGUGUCGCGAUGCCACGAAUCUGAGCUCGACUACCUUGUAAAGUAGAUAUUUUUUGUCUUAACCUGAUCAGUUGACGGGCCAGAAUUUUAGUUGCGGCCUGCCAAAUAGAAGGGUAUCAGGAGAACCAUACUGCAUGAUUUAGAACAAAAUUAGUGCGUCAAACCGAAAUAUAAGAAAUAAAACCUCAUUGCCAGUUUUUGCAGUCCUUUUGAUUUCAGCAACUAGUCUCUUUUCCUAAUUGGAACAAAAAACAAGGUGAAGCUGUGGUUACUGCUUAUUCAACUGGUACAAAUAAAAUAGAGAAACACAGCAAGAAAAUAUGUGUGCGUCAUAUGGAGCGUGAAAUAUGUGAAGAACUACAUGGAGCAGGCUUUAACAACUUGUCAAAUGACUGAACGUAUAAAGUCAUUCCAUUGGCAGGUAUCCUGAGCAUUUUUUUUCUCAUUAACCACAAAAGACAGGGUAUGUGAUUAAACAUACAGACCUCUUGUUGUAAUGUCCCGAUGUCCCUCUCAAUACCUACAGAUGACACAUGUCAGGAAUUAGAUCAUCUCGAAACCUGCAUAGUUGAACUAUUGGGAGAAAGCAUGGCUAACAUGGUUUUCUAUAAAAUGUCAUAGUUGACAUUAACCGAAAUUCUCAACAUGUCGUUUCUAGGACAGGAUGCAGAAUAGUAUUUCCCUCCAUGUUUCAUAAUUCAGUCAAACCUCAACUCCUCGAGUUUCAACAACUUUUUUAGCAAACAUGCAAAAGCUUGGAGCGUAUGUGUAUUAUGAUACCGUAGAAUGUAAGGAAUCACAGAUGGUAUGUCAAACCGUGCUAUACAACAGCCAAGGGCUGUGAGUACAUAAUAUUCAAUUUCAAUCAAAUUUCGAGCAUUCAAUUUACACAAAAUAACAGGGAUUGAACCUUAAAUCAGAAGAUAACCUAGAUGGAAACUACAAUUGCCUCGAACAGUUGAUCAGAAACAAUCGAAUAUAAUGAACCAGCCUUUGAUUCAACUUGCAUUAAUUAGGUUCAAACUACAGCUAGCACAUGUAACUUGGUAUACUCUGACCUAAUAACUAGCAUUUAAAAAUGGCAAUCCACUUGAGCGCCAAGUGUGCCGGAGCACAAACUACUCACCUCUUGUCGCGUUCGUCAGCUCCCGCUUGCUGUUCCUGAUCGCCUCUGCACAGCAGAAACCGCAAUCAGGGAUUCAGAGCUCAGGGCACAACGAUUGAGCUAGACACAGGCGUACGGAACCCUAGGAUCGUCCCCGAAAGCAAUCCGAUCGAUCAGAACUCGAGCUACGCAGCGCCGGCGCGCGAAGCGCAAAUUGGAAAGGAUCGCGUGAGCCGAGGCCAAAUUAGGUGAAAUUUUGAACGGUGGGGAUGGGGAGGGGUUGAGUCGUACCUCGCGGCGUUGGCUUCUUCGCGAAGGGAUUCAUCGCUUCCUCGGUGCGCUCGCCGCCGGGAGGAAUCGAGGAGGGGCGGUGGGGCGUGGGAGAAGAAGGCCGGCUACCGCGUACGUGAGGGGAUGGAUUCUUUGUUUGGGUUCUUCCUGGUAGUUGCGCGGAAGGGCUACCACGACUGACCGACUGGUACUUUUUUUUUUCGAAUCAACUACUCCCCCGUUAGUUAUUUCACACAACUCAAAAUGAACUGUUUUGUACAAAUACCCGUGCGUUGCAACGGACGAUUAAAUUAAUAGAACAUGGGCCUUGUCAUUCCACAACACUUAUUACCUUUAAUUUUGACGAGCAUCAGUACAUAGGCAUUCUUGAGUAUCACUUUUCAGCAAAAGCCUCUCUAACAUUGUUUGUCAUGAUGUAUUUCAGCUCCGCACUUUCAUCCGAUGAAAGAGUGGUGGUGCACGCACACUCUUAGAAAAAGAUGUGAAUAUUUCUCAAAAAAAGGAUGAGAAUAAUAAGAUUUAAUAACGACUAAAGAUGAUGAUAAUAUUAAUAUGUAAUAGUUCCAACUAAGUUUUCAUGAAAGUUUAUAAAAACUUAAAAAUAUUUGAACCUCUGUUAAAUCCCGGCCAAGAAGUCUCUAUUUACUGAAAAUAAAAUUGUUUCAGUUUGAGUAACCACAAAGUAGGGAAAAACGAUUAAAAGUAGGAUAUCACUCAAGAGCCAGCCCCGACCCAUCUUUCUUUAAGCCCACUAAGGUAGCCGGCACAGCCCCAAUGCCAGCCUCUUCUCGCAAAAAAUAAAUAAAGAAUGCCAGCUCUUCCAUUGCUCUCUCCUCCUCCUCGAUGGUGAACAGCGGGGGCACGCUUCUGCUCACUUUCUCCUCGCACCGUCUCCCCGAUCCGCCUGGGAGCCACCUGCACACAGCCGACUCGCUCUCCUUUGCCUCAGCUCGCCGUCCUCCUGCCGUCGCUCAGUGGCGAGACCACCACGACGCCGCUCGCUCUCCUCCCGUCGACCUCCUCCUCUCCUAGAUCUCUGCAGAGUGCCUCCUCCUGGACGACCUCGCGUGUGCGGUGCCCGCCGCUUCACAUAUCAGCGCAGCCACCUUGCUGCCGUCCGGGAGAGCCUCCCGACAGCAGUCGCUGGCCUCCCCAUUCUCCCCCGCGCCUGGCUUCCCUCCGCCUCGCCCUGCUUCCGUCACGCCGCCUCCGCGCCAGCAAGUCCCGACACCGGCGAGCCACUGCCCUUUGGGUGAAGCGGUGCUCCCGCGUAUGCACCUGUGGCGGGCCGGCUGGUUGAUUAGGCGCGCACUGCGGCCUCGGCUUCAAUUUUUGACUGGUUAGUCCUCCUUUCCGCUCAGCCCUCUUGUGGCAUACGAGUAGAAUUCACUUUGAUUAAUUAAUUACAUAUUAGAUCUGGUUUAGCGUUUUAGAACCGCUUUGGUCGCAAUUGGUAGAUUUAGUGGUAACCUCGCCUCACUCGAUGAUGGUUCAAUUGUCUCUGCUCCAAAUCUGCAGACUCUCUGCUCCAAAUGUGUGCCGAGCAUCUUCUUCAAUGACAUGUAAGUAACUGUCAGAAAGUAAUCCAAUUCAAGAAAGCAAGCUUGCACAAUGCAAUUUGCUGCUUGUUCAUAGAACCAUAAUUCCAAUCAUAAGUUCAACAAAGUUUUAGUAAGCAAAUCAGCUCACCGUCACAGCCACCAAUGUGUUCCCCAUUAAUGAAGACAUUGAGAACAGUCCUCUGCCCAGUCCAUUCAGCAAGAGCUAACUGAAUCUCAGGUCCAUCGCCUUGAUAAAAGAUAACAUGGGUUAGUUCAAUAAGAGUUUCUCCCAAGACCUGUGCCGAUCAUCCCAAUGCAGAGCCAAUACAUGAUGCAAUUAGAAGUUAGAACAUGCUUGACGUUUAUCAUGAGCAUCCAGUAAUCACUUAGCUACAAGCUGCAGAUGAGUAGUAGAGUAGUACGACCAGGAGCAGAGUGUAAAAAAACAUGUAUUGCUCAGAGCAUGUAAACACUAAAAAGAAGAGUAACUAAUCUGAGGUUUGGAUGAUAGCACUUAGAUUACAUAGUGCGUCAUAGUUGGGUGCGUGCGACCUCAAUUGCUUCUUCUUUGUUGCCAGAAAACUCAAUUGCUUCUUUAUUGUCUAACCAAUCAUCAAAGCUCCCAAGAGAUUUGAGAUCACACUCACAUCAUUACUUAGUGAGCUUACUGAUUACUUACAAAAUCAUUGUUCCAUAAAUGGUGUUGUCAUAAAUUCUUUUCCAGGCCACAGUAGUAUGAAGCUCUUAAACUGAAUAUGUAUAGUAUUCCAACAAAACAGUACACAGGGAAAUCCAAAUGCAGGAAAAUAACUUGCAUUAAGCUCUUAUAAACCCAGCAAGUACACCAUUUCAACGGAACAGUACACAGUAACAUCCGGAUGCAGGAAACUUAAGGUUAUUAUUCAUCUAAAUUAUUGGGAGCUCGAUACCAGCAAGCUGAGUCUGAUCAAACUAUCUACAUCACUGUUAGAUAUUGCAUAUUUUGUCUACCACUGUACAAUAUACAUGCAUCUGUGCUUGCGGCGGAGGCGAAGACGAGCCAUAGAGUUGUAGGAGCGAGCAGCAGAGCGAAGGGAGGCUCAGAAGAACAACUCUAGCAGGCGGCGCGGUGGAGCAGUAACGGCUACGCUCACCGAUGGUGGCGAGGCGUGGAAAACAAAGACCAUGAUUUCAACUCUUUGUGGACAUACCUCAAGCGUAGGAUCGGCCGACAAAUUUCCGGUGAACUGUGGAGCACUGUUGGAAGCCAGUAUGUUUUCUGUCGAAGUCUAACGAGGCAACAUUGGACGGUUUUCCGGCGAAGUAGGCGGAGACAACAUUGGACAUAUUUUGUCGGACGUCGUCUUGUUUUCUGGCGAAGUCUGCGAAGGCGAUAGUGGGCGGACUACCGGCGAAGGUGGACAGAAUUUGUCGGAUGACGUCUUGCUUUCCGGCGAAGUCGGCGGAGGAGACAUUGGGUGGACUUGAGGAGAAUUUGCAAUGCAAUUUAUGUGGAGUGUCGAAAUGUCUUGUAACCGGGAUUUCGAGACUGAUCGGGUCUUCCCGGGAGAAGGAAUAUCCUUCGUUGACCGUGAGAGCUUAUAAUGGGCUAAGUUGGGACACCCCUGCAGGGUGUUAUCUUUCGAAAGCCGUGCCCGCGGUUAUGUGGCAGAUGAGAAUUUGUUAAUAUCCGGUGGUAGAGAACUUGACACUUGACCUUAAUUAAAAUACAUCAACCGCGUGUGUAGCUGUGAUGGUCUCUUUUCGGCGGAGUCCGGGAAGUGAACACGGCUUUUGGGUUAUGUUUGACGUAAGUAGGAGUUCAGGAUCACUUCUUGAUCAUUGCUAGUUCACGACCGUUCCGUUGCUUCUCUUCUCGCUCUCAUUUGCGUAUGUUAGCCACCAUAUAAGCUUAGUGCUUGCUGUAGCUCCACCUCAUUACCCCAUCCAUUCCUUUAAGUUUAAAUAGUCUUGAUCUCGCGGGUGUGAGAUUGCUGAGUCCUCGUGACUCACAGAUACUUCCAAAAUAGUUGCAGGUGCCGAUGAUACCAGUGCAGGUGACGCAGCUGAGCUCAAGUGGGAGCUCGAUGAAGAUCUUGCUCUUUGUGUUGUUUCUUUUCAUGUUGUUCAGUAGUGGUGCCCAGUUGGGACGAUCGGGGAUCUAGCAGUUGGGUUGUCUUCUUUUCUUUUGGUUCUGUAGUCGGACCUAUGUGUGUACUCUGAUUGAUGUAUGAUUUAUUUAUGUAUUGUGUGAAGUGGCGAUUGUAAGCCAACUCUUUAUCCCAUUCUUGUUCAUUACAUGAGAUUGUGUGAAGAUGACCCUUCUUGCGACAAAACCAUAAUGCGGUUAUGCCUCUAAGUCGUGCCUCGACACGUGGGAGAUAUAGCCGUAUCGUGGGCGUUACAAGUUGGUAAUCAGAGCCAUCCCUGACUUAGGAGCCCCCCUGCUUGAUCGAAUCGCUGGCGUUGUUGAGUCUAGAACAAAAAUAUUUUGAGUCUUAGGAUUAUAUAUAUCAGAGAGUAGGAUUCUUUUUACUCCUCAGUCCCUUCGUCGCUCUGGUGAGGCCUCCUGACGUAGAAAUUUUGACUUUUCUCUCCUCAAAUUUCACUAAAAAAAAUUUAGGAUCACGCGGGCAUCUUGGAAUCGCUUCGAUGGUUUUGUGACGAGAACAUUGUUCUUGGUGCCUCCUGACAUUUAGGGGUUGUGGCAGUGUCCCGGGGAGUUGAGCUCCGAGGUGUUGUCGUCACAAUUUUAUCGUUGCAGUUCUGGAAUACCUGAGUUUCGCCGACAUCGAAAUCUCUUUUAUGCAGUUGUUGGUGAGAUCACCUCGACGCCAUCCAGUACUGGGGCGGGAGUUCGGGAGUAUUGCCAUAACUCGUAUAACGGAUGCUUUUCGAAGGUUGAGGUAAAUGAUUUUCGAAGGUUUCUUGGUUAUGUGUUGAAGGAUGGAUACAGCUGGAUCUAGGUAUUGUUAGUUUGGGUGAUAUAUUUUGUGUCCCCUGUAUCCCCAACAUCUGAUUGCAUAACCAGAAAGUUUCGGGAGUUUAUAAGUGGGAAUUCAAGUAGCUCCUAGGAUAUCUUUCCGACAGAUGCAUGAUAUGAGAUUGGGGUUCGACGUCUAGUGAUCCGCCUUUCCACGGUUGGUUUUACAGUGGUCUCGUAGUGUCUUAAAGAGUCCUUGGCUAUGCCGACUCGGGGACGCUUCGUAUGUCAUGUGCACUGCCUUGUACAUGAUGGUGCUGUACGAUCGAGCCCGUGUGGGCCCCACCACGAAAACUUCGGACGAGAUCUCUAUCAUAUGUUUGUUCCGGCUUAUUCUGCAAGCCAAAUCCUUUGUUUUUUGUUUUGUUUUGUUUUGUGGUUUUCGAGUUGCUUCAAUGACAAGUGUUGAUUCCAUACCUUAUCCUAAGUGGUGUUCUCAUAUUUAUAUGUGGAUGCUAAUCCUUCUUCAUCUUCAAGGUUGUCUUUUCAAUUCUUUUCAACCGGUGUGCUUCUCUUCAAGCGGAUCCGAUCGUUUCAACAUUCGCGAGAUCAAUUCUAAGUUUUCUCAACGGUAUCCAUUCCAUCUGCCCCAAGUUGCCUUUGUUUUUCCGCCCUCCCAUCCUCUUUCUUCAAGGACUCAGAUUUCUUAAUCAAGUAUCAUUUUUAUUGAUACGAAGUCUCUUUAUUCUUUUCUUUCAAUGUUCUUAUCCGGUGAUUUUCUCAUGAAGAUACUAACGGAGCUUCAAGUUUAUUAUUCUUCGUUCUUUUUCUUCUCCGGUGGACUCAAGUCAAGCUUUCAGUGUUGAUCGUAUUCUUUUCCUCGUUUCAAAUGUUUUUCUCAUGCCGGUGUAUCUCUUAAUCAUUCACCUCUCGCAUUGCCAUUCCCAAUCCGUUCAAGCUUUCUCGAGGUUGUUAUCUCUUUCAAGCCAUUUAAUUCAACCGGCUUAAUCUCUCUUUUAAAUUGUUCAACGGUGUUUCUCUUGAGUGGGCCCUAACCCACAGGUAUUUUCCCAGAAUCUUACCUGACUCUUCUAAUCUUUCUGGAGUCAUUCUCAAAUUCAUUGCAAAGUGACGUAAGAAUGAAUUAUCAUCAGUCAAAUGUCUUUCUCCAAGAUCUUUCAAAUUCUUUUCAUUGUUGGUUCAAUCUUUCUAAUUGUCAUUCCGGAGUGCCUCAAUAAUUCAUGGUGGUGUUUCUCAUCAUCAUUCUCAACAUUUGAAGACCGAAGAACAAUUUCUCCUAAAUCUUGGUCCGUUCUCUUGAAGAUUCAUAGUUCUAGCUUAUGCCAUCCUCUCAUAAUUGUUUUCGAUUGUGAGAAUUCUUUUCUUACCCAUCCGAAGCAUUUCAGAGUUGUUUUCAUUUCUUGAUCAUCCAAAGGCCAUCAUUUCAGAAAGAAUUAUUCAUUCAAGCUUUCAGCUCUCGUUCUCCAAAUCAUACCGGUGCAUCACUCAAAUAUCCUCUAAUCAGUUCAUGAUCGCUUCGUUCUCGUGUAUCUAAAUUCUGUCAAGUAUCUUCAUUCAUUUUCUAAUUCUUUCUGUUGAAUUGUGCCUUUGCUACUUUCAUUUUCAAUUCUCGCGGUGGUUCGUUCAAGAUUUCUCUUCCCUCGUUAUCAUAUCAAUUCAUUCGUUGUUUCCAAAUCCUACCGGUGGUUCGAUGAAGACCUUCCUAAGUUGAGCAAUAUCCCUCUUUAAUCCUUUCGACGAGAAUAAGUAGUAUGACAAAUCCAUUGCUUGCCAUCAAUUAAUUGGUGAAGGACGAGCAUAAUGUAAUUCUUAUUUUUGUUUCAUCGAGUAAAUUCAACUCCUUAUUCCGGAGGUUCAUCAAAAUUCUUGAUUUCAUUUGUUCAUUUUUCUUUCCGGAGUUCCAAGUUUUUCUCGGUUAUAUCAUAUCAAAGCUUCAUCUAAAUCAUUGCAAGGCUUCACCUUGUGUUGUCAACUUCUCUUUCUUUCUAUCAUCCUUUUGUAUACCGGAGUUCUUCAUGGAGGCUCUACAUGGUGCUUCGUCAAGGAUUCCUUUCAUUCUUCAAUUGUUCUUCAAGAUUUCUCUCGGAGUCAAGAUCCGUCAAGCUAUACUCUAAAAUAAACAUGGUGCUUAACACAUGUCUCUCUUGAGGAGUUCAAGCAUUCUUCAUCUCGCAUUCCAAAGUGCAAUUCUUUCUACCUUAUCGUUUGAGAUGGUGCUAUGUCAUUCUGGAUAAUUUCCCUUCGGGUUCAUGAUUCACAAAGUUUUCAAGAGUGACAUAUCUAAAUCCAUCAUUUUGUCUUCGUUCAAGAGGUCUUUUCAACCAAUCAAUCUUUUUGUUGGAGUUGUAUUGGGUUAUAUUUCACCUAUAGCCUCCCCUAAGGAAUGUAGCUAUUUGUGGUGUUUAUCAAUGAUCCAAAUUUUCUCCUAUCCUCUUGGUGAAGAAGUUUUCAUCUCCUUGUUGAUCCCAAUUCAAUCAAUCAUUGUUUCCGUUAGUGGCAGUUUGUCACCUCAUAAUGUUGAGAUGUUUCCAUAAGCCCACUACAAGCUUUUUCUUUUCGCUGUUGGUUUCCAACAACUCCGUUCAAUCCUACUUCGUAAGGAUGCUCUUUAAAAUUCAUUUAUGGUAGGAGAUGUUGGUUUCACUCUUCGUUCUAUUCACUCCAACUAUCUAACUAUCAUGCAUUGUUUCCGGAGGCUUUGUGAUGUUGCUCUCUUCGACCAAUCAUCUUGUUUUGUCAAGAUCAUGUGUACUUUUCCUUUCUUAUCCGUUUAGCCGGAGCGUCGUGUUUUCAUUCGAGUUCUCUCAUCUUAUCAAGUUUUGUCUCCUUUUCAACCGGAGUGCUGUCUGAAAUCUUUCCUACCCCUUGUGACAUUCUUUCAUUAGUUCCGGAGGAAAUGUGUUGUUAAUUUCAUCGAGUAUCCUCUCAUCUUGUCAAGAUCAUGUUCAAUUCCUUCCAUUUACAGUCGGAGUGCUGUCCAAAUUAUAUCAUUCUUAUUCCUUCUUUAUCUUGUUUUAACUGGAGUGUUGUGUAUAUCAUUCCUCUUCUAACCGGAGUCUCAUCCAAGUGCUUUCAUUUUGCCAAGUUCAUAUUCUAUGCUUUCCAUUUUCCAACCGGAGUGUUGUCGUAAUGGAUCCUUAUCGUUCCUUGUACAUCUCUUUUCAACCGGAGUGCUUGCAUGUACUUCUUGUCCAUUGUAACCCGUAAUGUUCCUUGUUCCUUUUUUCUAACGGUUUGUUUUCAACUUUGUUCAUCUUCGUUGUUUUCUCUCUUUUAAUUCGUUCAACGGUUCGUGGUUUCACUCGUUUGUCAAAGAAGCAACUCAGUUUACCUCUCCUCUUCCUUUUCUGCUUCUCUCCGGUGCCAUCCUAGAUCUCGGGACGAGAUCCUUUUGUAGUGGUGGAGUGUUGUAACGCCCCAAGACCGACGCUUCAGAAGACUUCCAUAUUUUUCGUGAUCACCGUGUGUUUCUUUUGGUGCUUGCUCUUUUAUUUUUGCAUUGCAUCAUGUCAUCAUGCCAUCAUGUCAUUUAAUUUUUAAAAAACUCAACUAAGUAAAUUGCAUGGAUCUUCGAUCCAUUUAAAUCGAGGGAAAUGCACAUGGUGAUUUCUCUUUAUAACAUAUAUCCUCCCAAUAUUGUUAGGGAGCUAUAUUAAAAUAUUCCACUAAUUGGAGUUCACCAUAACACACUUGCAAAUAUCCCAAUGCCUUUGUUAUCUUAAUUCUUGGUCUCCAACCUUGCCAUUUAUUCUUUCAUCAUAUUCCGGAGCUCCACCAAAAAUCCGAACAUUUUUGGACCUUACCAACCCUCACUUCCUAUUCAAAUCAUUUGAAUUUAAAUCAAAUGAGUUUGAAUUUAAAUCUUUCAAUCAUGGCCUUUUCUAUUUUCUCGAAACAAGCACAUUGUUGUGAGUCUGGAAAAAUUAUCCGCGUGUCCAACUUCUUCCCCAACACCUCCUUUCUUCUUCUUUUCUUCUUUGUUAUUUUCUGUUUUAGAAAAUAAGAGAGUAGGGUGAAAGAGAGAACCAGGCCGACCCAUCCCCACAGGCCCAGGCGUUGGCCUCCAACAGCCCAGUCAUCCCCAUCUUAACCCUAGCCUCCUCCCGAUCCCCUCGCUCUCUCCCUCAAUGCCCCAUCCAGCGCCGCCAGGAGCCCCGAUCCCCAUCUCCCUCCGCUCGAUCUCCUCCUCACCCUCUCUAUCUCCUAGCGCGCGCCCCCUUCGCCUGCCUGCUCCCUCUUGCUUCUUCGACCUCGCCUCGCCCCGCGACCCCGCCGCCGCUCCGGCCGGCGAGCCCAUGCUCCGGCGCCGCCGUCCUCGUGCUGCAACGCUGCCGGCAAGCCCUGCCUCUGCCUCCUCCUUCCCCGCGCGUGAGAUGCUCUCCUCCGCCAGCCACCUCCCGCUCACCUCCUUCUUCUCUUCCUCGCGCGCCCGCGACCAUGGCUGCCUUGUCAUCAAGCUCGCCUUCGUCUCCCUGGUGGCCGACUGCGUCGACCUCCUCUGCAAGGACAAGCCACUGCUGCUGCCACCACCACCACCUUGCUCCGUCGCUCGCCUCCCCCACGACCUCGCGUCGCCCCGCUGCCCGAGCCGUCCUCUCCGCCUUCCUCCUGCGCGGCACACACAUGCCCCGCGCCUCACCUCCAUGGCCUUCUGCCCGAGCCACCACGACCACGUGCGCCUCCUUCAUGGUUGCUGUGCUGUCGGUUUUUCAUGCCUCGUCCUGCUGCUGUGGGUGCCUCGCGAGCCGCCGAUGUCCUCGCGAGCUGCUCUGUCCGAUAGGGCUCCCUUCCAAGACGAGCUGGCUGCCCCGUUGGCCCUGCUGCCUUUGUCGUGGCCAAGUCAAGCCAGACGCCCGGAGUACAUCUUUGGUUGCACACCAAGUCGGCCAUGCCUUGCUGCCUCCUGUACACUGUUGGUCAACAGUUGAUGCACGCCAAGUACUUUGACUACAGCCGAUGCCCCGAGGACACAGAGUAUGACUACACACGGCGAUGCGUCAAGUUCCACUACCGUCGACCCCAUGGACCGCCAAGUUCUUCUACCAAUGACUCGAUCGUCUUCAAACGUGUACAACUAACGUCGCCAGCCCGCGAGUGCCACUACUUCCCACGACGACCCAUGAACAACUACUUACACUUCGAACCCGUCCGCCCCGAGACGUACGCUUCAAAGGUAUAAUGACGAGACGACCGCCCGUGUACGAAUGCAUGUUGUCUGAGAUGAACCGUAUGUUUGCACCGUGCCCGUUUGCUUCAUGCACGUUCCUCCUCGGUUGCCAUGCCGUCGACCUGUGGGAACCCGGUAACCGGGAUCACCCCACCAUCUUUUGCAUGUUCCGCACAUCCGCACACUUGCUCUUUUGCACCGGUAUCUCCGUGAGCUAUCAGAACCGAUAUGUUGCCGUGGCAUCAUUUUCGGAUUCGUUGCCGUGGCACCCUUUUCCUUCCGCCACGGUGACAAAUGCCUCGUAUCAUGCUCAUGUCAACAUUUUCAUAAAAAAAUUGCUUAAAACUUGCAUUGUCAUCCGCAUCAUGAUAACAACAUUCAAAUGUUUAAAAUUGUUGUUUGCUUUAAAUUGCUAAUUGACAUGAGGAUUUUUCGGAAUUAUUGUUUGUUGUUCCGGCCUCAUUUAAAUUGUCUAGAUAGUUAGUUUACUUAUGCUUCACCUCUUGCCAUGAUAAUCAACAUUUAAUAUUGUUGGGUACAUAAACGGGAGGGAACCAAAUAAUUAAAUAUGGUGUUUCGUCAAUAUGCAACUCGUUGCAUAUUGAGCUCCAUUUAAUUUGUAGUGUUGUUUGUUGCACUUUGCCAUGCCAUGCUCAUUAAAUCGGACAUGCAUCAUACUUGACUGUGCAUCAUGCCAUGUGUAUGUGGUGGUUGUUUACUAUGUUGUUUGUUUCUUUCCGGGUUGCUUCUCUCGUUAGCUUCGGUUUCUUUCCGGAGUUGGGAGGAUUCGUUCGACUCCGUCUGUUUGUCUUCUUCAUGGACUCGUUCUUCUUCCUAGCGGGAUUUCAGGCAAGAUGGCCAUACCCUCGAAAUCACUUCUAUCUUUGCUUGCUAGUUGUUCGCUCUAUUGCUAUGCCGCGUUACCUACCACUUGCUAUAUCUUGCCUCCCAAAUUGCCAUGAAACCACCUCUAACCUUUGUCACCCUUCCUAGCAAACCGUUGUUUGGCUAUGUUACCGCUUUUGCUUAACCCCUCUUAUAGCGUUGCUAGUUGCAGGUGAAGAUGAAGAUUGCUCCAUGUUGGAUUAUGUUUAUGUUGGGAUAUCACAAUAUCUCUUAUUUAAUUAAUGCAUCUAUAUACUUGGUAAAGGGUGGAAGGCUCGGCCUUAUGCCUGGUGUUUUGUUUCACUCUUACCGCCCUAGUUUCCGUCAUACCGGUUUUAUGUUCCUUGAUUUUGCGUCCCUUACGCGGUUGGGUGAUUUAUGGGACCCCCUUGACAGUUCGCUUUGAAUAAAACUCUUCCAGCAAGGCCCAACCUUGGUUUUACAUUUGCCUCACCUAGCCUUUUUCCCUUGGGAGUUGCGCAUCCCGAGGGUCAUCUUUAUUUUAACCCCCCGGGCCAGUGCUUCUCCAAGUGCUGGUCCAAACCGAGCGAUGUCCGGCGCCCCCUGGGCAAUCAGGGUCUAUGCCAACCCGACGUCUGUCUCAUCCGGUGUGCCCUGAGAACGAGAUAUGUGCAGCUCCUAUCGGGAUUUGUCGGCACAUCCGGGCGGCUUUGCUGGUUUUGUUUUACCAUUGUCGAAAUGUCUUGUAACCGGGAUUCCGAGACUGAUCGGGUCUUCCCGGGAGAAGGAAUAUCCUUCGUUGACCGUGAGAGCUUAUAAUGGGCUAAGUUGGGACACCCCUGCAGGGUAUUAUCUUUCGAAAGCCGUGCCCGCGGUUAUGUGGCAGAUGGGAAUUUAUUAAUAUCCGGUGGUAGAGAACUUGACACUUGACCUUAAUUAAAAUAUAUCAACCGCGUGUGUAGCCGUGAUGGUCUCUUUUCGGCGGAGUCCGGGAAGUGAACACGGCUUUUGGGUUAUGUUUGACGUAAGUAGGAGUUCAGGAUCACUUCUUGAUCAUUGCUAGUUCACGACCGUUCCGUUGCUUCUCUUCUCGCUCUCAUUUGUGUAUGUUAGCCACCAUAUAAGCUUAGUGCUUGCUGCAGCUCCACCUCAUUACCCCAUCCUUUCCUUUAAGCUUAAAUAGUCUUGAUCUCGCGGGUGUGAGAUUGCUGAGUCCUCAUGACUCACAGAUACUUCCAAAACAGUUGCAGGUGCCGAUGAUACCAGUGCAGGUGACGCAGUUGAGCUCAAGUGGGAGCUCGAUGAAGAUCUUGCUCGUUGUGUUGUUUCUUUUCAUGUUGUUCAGUAGUGGUGCCCAGUUGGGACGAUCGGGGAUCUAGCAGUUGGGUUGUCUUCUUUUCUUUUGGUUCCGUAGUCGGACCUAUGUGUGUACUCUGAUUGAUGUAUGAUUUAUUUAUGUAUUGUGUGAAGUGGCGAUUGUAAGCCAACUCCUUAUCCCAUUCUUGUUCAUUACAUGGGAUUGUGUGAAGAUGACCCUUCUUGCGACAAACCACAAUGCGAUUAUGCCUCUAAGUCGUGCCUCAACACGUGGGAGAUAUAGCCGCAUCGUGGGCGUUACAAGUCUACUUGCGAAAUCCUGUCCGUAUUGGAGUUGGACAGGAGUAAAAAAAAAUAUGGCUGAUUGGCUGGAGACAUACGUGUGAACGGACGAGCAAGGUCCUAAGCUCGAUCCCACCUUAGGCCAUUUUUUUAAUGUAAUAUAGGAAGCACAUUAAAGGCCCACAUUAAUACUUUUGGCCCAGGUCUGUAUAUGUACCAAGCAGGCUGAGGCCCAGGCGCCGGACGCAAAUUUAGAUCGAUCAGCGUUUAAUAGUACCACCUCGUACGUGAUGGUCGGACCACGAGUACGUGACCGAAACUAACGGAAAAAAACUAAUCACGAGACGAAACCAAAAAUAUCACCUCCCUUUAAUAGUAGGUAAUAAUAGAUAAUAGAUAAUAGAUAUAGGUAGGUACCGAACGCACCGUAUUCUGGCGUUUUGGCCCGAACGCCUCCUGAGCCGUUUGAUUUCUAGCACAAAUCUUAUAGCGUGGAUAUUAGCCACGUCACAUUCUUUUUCGUUCGGUAGAACAACGACUUGUCCCGAACGCCUGUCGCUAUCUUAUCCUCUCCCAGUCCCUUCUCCACCGCUCACUCGCAUCCCACACACUCGCCUUGCGGAGAACUGUCUUGCGCCGGUGACGAGGCAUGCGACGUCGGAAAGGAGCCAGGGGGCGACGGAGGCGAGGAGGUGGAAGAACGCCAUCUAGCAGCUCCACCGGACCCAACAUCGGGGGUGUCCCGCGGCGGAGACGAGGCAGGCUGCGCUGUCCUCGAGGUGUUGCGGCUUGCGGCCACGGGGGAGGAGGCUGAGGAGGCCCCCUAGUUGUGCUCCGACGGAUCCCAGAUGGAGAGCCCGAGCGCUAGCAUGGGGAGGAACCACCGGUUGCAGCGGUGGCGACGGAGAGGAGGCGCGGACGAAGGAGCUGUGAUGGAGGUGGUCGGGCUUAGGUGUGGCGGGGGCAGGCGGAGAGGAGGCCCGGCGAAGGAUCUGUGAUGGAGAUGGCCGCGCUUAGGUGCGGCGGGGGCGACGGAAAGGAGGCGCGGCGAAGGAGCUGCGCUGGCGAUUGCCGCAUUUAGGUGCGGCGGGUGUCGAGAUGCAGCCGGAGAUCUAUGCUGCGUGGUGGCACUGCUUCCGUCGGCACUGGCCGCGCACUUCCUGGUGGUCACCACGGAGCUCCACCUUGGCGUUCACGAGUUUGAACUACGCAAGGACGGGGCGGCUCGCUGGACUAGCCAUGCCAUGUCUACUACCAAUGGUGCCCGAGCCGGCUGUCAACGAAGAGAUGGUGUCCUGAGGUAUGCCAUGUUUCUCGGUUGUUUUCAUACGAAUUGUGCAUAACUCUUGACCAUGGAGAUUACAAGUUCGCGCAUCUACCGAGCGUGUGAGAAGCUCAUCUGGUUCUGGUAGAGUGUGGAGUUAGGGCUUUCGAUCAAUUUCAUGUCAAAAUGUUGGCAACACGUUCUAUAUUUCAAUGGCAAAUAUCAGAUGGCAAGAUUUAGAAAUUGUUUGCCUUGCAUUUUUGAAAUAUAACCAAUUUGAAUCAAAAUCCAUGGCAAAUUUGCAUAGUUGGGCAGUGAAAUGUAAUGUUAACAAUUCUGGGAUUUUGUACAUUAUGCUAUAUUACAACAAAUAAAAGAACAAAAAAUGUGCCACCACUUCAGAUUUGUUUUGUAUGUAUAGGUGGGGAGGAAAACAUCCCAUAGCUGAUGUAUCGUUCAUUGACAAAAAUGAUAGUAAAAUGGUUUAUAGUCGUGGCAAUUGCUAUAGAUUAUUUAGUAUUGGUAUGAUGGCAAGUUAAAAAUUUGUUCUUAUAACAUUUUUUCAAGUUUUGCCACUCUACUGACUGAAAAUCAUUUGUUUUGUGUGAUCUGAACAAAACAGAGAUACAUACUAGUCUUCCAGGACAUAAUGGUAUUUUUUGUGUCCCUAGAUUUUGUUGUAGUGGUGAUAGGCUAUGAGUUUUGAGAAGAAAAUAAAUGAUUUGUGGCUGGAUUGAUCAGGCUAUGUGCGCUGAAUCUGUAGUGAGGAAAGGGAUUUUUAGAGUUUGUGGUCAUCUUGUUGAACAACAUCAGCGAUAAUUAAACUGAAAAGGGAUAUGGAGUAACCAAAGCUUGCUUUUCAUUUAGAGAGAAUGAUUCAGGACUAAACAUGUACUGUACGAUAUAUUUGUUCUUAAAUUUGCCGUCUCACUGUAGAUUUUUUUUUAAUUUUUCCUGAAAGAUGGGAAAUAUAGUUAUCAAAUGAUGGUAAAUUCAGUUCUCGGAUCAUGGAAAAAUCAUUGCUUUCUUGCCAUGGCAACUUUCGAUUUUGGAUCAUGGCGCAAAUUUACUGUUUUCUACCAUGGCAACUAAUCUUAUACUUUUUGCCAUGUAAACAUCAAAAAAUUAGUUGAUUGAUCCUGACAAAAUUUAGUUUACGCAUCAUAGCAAACUUGCUUCCUGUAAGAUGGCAAACAUAGUUAUCGAAUCAUGGCAAAUUUAGUUCUCGAAUCAUGGCGAAUUCAUUGCUUCCUUGCCAUGGCAACUUUUGAUUUUUUAAAUUUUCGCGGCAAUUCUUUAAAUUGUCGAAAACAACACAAAAUGGCGAAUAUUGCCAUGGCAAGUUUUACUAAUUAUUUCACCUUCAUUAACAUGGCAAAAUUACCUACAUCCUCAUGGCAAUUUUAACACUUUAUUGCCAUGGCAAGUUUUACUAUUUAUUUUCCAUGGCAAAUUUACCUUUAUUAACAUGGCAAAUUCACCUAAGUCCCCAUGGCAAUAUUUAACUUUUAUUGCCAUGGCAAGUUUUACCUAAAUCGCCAUGGAAAUAUUGAACUUUUAUUGCCAUGGCAAGUUUCACUAUUUAUUUGCCAUGGAUAAUAUACCUUGGUUCAGGAUGUUGUGUAGUUGAUAUUUGCAAAGUUCAUGGCAAUUUUAUCUCUGUCCUUGUUCAUAAACAAUAGCAAAUGUAUACUGUAUAAGGCUCUAUAUGACAAAAUUCAUGUGAUUUGCGGUGGCACCUUUUUAUUUGAAAAUAUGGUAAAUUUACCAUGGCAAGAUAUGAUUUUCAGAAACAUGGCAAAGUUUAUAGAUAUUCAAAAACAUGGCAAACUUGCCAUGUCAACUUAAUAUGCUCAAAAACAUGGCAAACUUGCCAUGGCAAAUUAAGAUGUUCAAAAAACAAGGCAAAUUAAUAUGUACAAAAACAUGGCAGUUUUUAGGCCUACAAAUAUUGUAAUUUGUUUAAAAUUCUUGAAGGCAAUUGUGUUUUUGGGCUGGGCUGGUUCGCUGGAGGGGAGGGAGGGAGGUCAUUCGGGAAGGAGAGCUCUUUCGAUCAAACAAACACGUUUGUCGCGAGGGAGCUGAUUUACCGAACAAAAGGUUCGGUUUGGGAUGCCCCUAGACCGAAUGGUCGGUGGUUCUCGCGGUCCAAUUUUUUCUAUACAUGCACAAUGGCAAUUUUUAUACAAAUCUUUUUUGUUCUAUCUUAUAUGGCCAUUUUUUCUUUCUUUUUUUGUGUUUUUCAUAAUAUCAUGGCAAAUUUUUCACACUCAUUUGCCAUGAAGGGUGCAUGAACAUCAUCGCAAAUCAUUUCUGUAAUAUACUUUUUUUUCAUGAUCAUAUGGUAGUUUUGUUCAUUAAAGGAUGGCAACUUUUUGUUUCUGGAUUUUUUUCAGGCAGUAUUUUUCUUCAUCAAGUGCAUUUUUAGGCCUUUUCGUGUGUUCUCUUUUUUUUGGGACAAAAGCAGUUUUGGGCCUUCAAUAUUGUAAUUCUUUGUUUUUUUAAUUCUUGAAGGCAAUGAUGUUUCUGGGCUUGUCCCAUUUUGGGCUGGUUCGCUGGAGGGGAGGAGCUAGAUCGCUAGCGACAAGUUUGUGCGAUGCGGGAUCGUUCGGGCUGGAGGGGUACUUCUACCGAACGAGUUUGUUCGUUCCAGCACCCUUCCAGUACGAACGAUUUGUUCGGGAUGGGGUGCCUCCAGGCCGAACGUACGCGCGUUAUCGGCGUCCUUUUUUCUUCUUUCUCUUUUUUAUUUAAAGAAAAGGCAAGCAGUUUCUGCCCUAUGCAUUUCAAAACGAGGUAAUAUCAUCCGGAGUCACACAAUUUGCAUCGCAUGUUAGUUUGGUGCUAGAACUUUCAAAAAUAUGUUUUUAUGGUCACCUAACUUGACUCAAGCGUGCAAAUACGGUCACAGUAUGCAUAUGCAGUCGUAUCCAUGUAUAUGACCCCACCUAUCAGUGAGUGAUAGCACUAGGCGCGACAUAGCUUUACAAAAAAAACACCCUCAUAUUUUUUUAGUUGAACAAAAAGUCAACCACCGGGACACAUAUUUGCACAAAAUAUUCACAUUUUUUAUUUACAGAAAAACCCUGACCACAGUGCUGCCGGAAAAUUGACAACAAAAACAGGGUCGGUGCCUCGGUGGGACUCGAACCAACAACCAAGACUUCUAAUACGGGACGAUCUAGCAUUUUUCUUUGAGAAUCGGACGAUCUAGCUACUACAAGAGCCAGGCCAGUACGCACGUUAAAUAACUUAUAUCUAAUGUGAAACAAAAAAAAACUUAUAUUUAAA